GUUGUAUAGUCAAGUAAUUAAGUGCAUGUGGUGGAUGCCUUGGCAGUCAGAGGCGAUGAAAGACGUGAUAGCCUGCGAAAAGCUCCGGGGAGGCGGCAAAUAUCCUUUGAUCCGGAGAUGUCUGAAUGGGGAAACCCACUUAUCAUAAGAUAGGUAUUGCAUGAUGAAUACAUAGUCAUGCAAGGCGAACGAGGGGAAGUGAAACAUCUCAGUACCCUUAGGAAAAGAAAUCAAUUGAGAUUCCCUUAGUAGCGGCGAGCGAAAGGGGAACAGCCCAUUAAGUUGUGUGUGUUCUAGUGGAACGCUCUGGGAAGUGCGAACGUAGAGGGUGAUAUUCCCGUACACGAAAGGGCACACACAAUGAUGACGAGUAGGGCGAGGCACGUGAAACCUUGUCUGAAUAUGGGGGGACCAUCCUCCAAGGCUAAAUACUCCUGACUGACCGAUAGUGAACCAGUACCGUGAGGGAAAGGCGAAAAGAACCCCUGUGAGGGGAGUGAAAUAGAUCCUGAAACCGCAUGCAUACAAGCAGUGGGAGCCGACUUGUUCGGUGACUGCGUACCUUUUGUAUAAUGGGUCAGCGACUUAUAUUCAGUAGCAAGGUUAACCGCAUAGGGGAGCCGUAGGGAAACCGAGUCUUAAUAGGGCGUAUAGUUGCUGGGUAUAGACCCGAAACCAGGCGAUCUAUCCAUGAGCAGGUUGAAGGUUGGGUAACACUAACUGGAGGACCGAACCCACUGUCGUUGAAAAGCCAGGGGAUGACUUGUGGAUAGGGGUGAAAGGCUAAUCAAGCCUGGUGAUAGCUGGUUCUCCCCGAAAG
This 820-nucleotide ribosomal RNA is filed under the name Enterococcus faecium. RNAcentral's name for it is "bacterial LSU rRNA". It matches the Rfam family "Bacterial large subunit ribosomal RNA", at positions 1 to 865 of the family's 2925-position model. Lineage: Bacteria; Bacillati; Bacillota; Bacilli; Lactobacillales; Enterococcaceae. The record is from RNAcentral.